AUCGAACGCUGGCGGCAUGCUUAACACAUGCAAGUCGAGCGAGCGGCGGACGGGUGAGUAAUGUCUGGGAAACUGCCUGAUGGAGGGGGAUAACUACUGGAAACGGUAGCUAAUACCGCAUACUAUCAGAUGUGCCCAGUUCGGAUUAUUUAGUGGGUGGGGUAAUGGCUCACCUAGGCGACGAUCCCUAGCUGGUCUGAGAGGAUGACGGGCCACACUGGAGCUGGGAAACGGUCCAGACUCCAACGGGAGGCGGAAGGGGGGAAUAUUGGACAAUGGGCGCAAGCCUGAUGAGGACAUGCCGCGUGUAUGAAGAAGGCCUUAGGGUUGUAAGGUACGUUCAGCGGGGAGGCGGUACCCGAAGAAGAAGCACCGGCUAACUCCGUGCCAGCAGCCGCGGUAAUAC
This 406-nucleotide ribosomal RNA is filed under the name uncultured bacterium. Its description in RNAcentral is "partial 16S ribosomal RNA". It matches the Rfam family "Bacterial small subunit ribosomal RNA", at positions 29 to 526 of the family's 1533-position model. The record is from RNAcentral.